Molecule: non-coding RNA, 67 nt
Filed under: unclassified sequences
Description: L31-Actinobacteria ribosomal protein leader
Rfam family: L31-Actinobacteria ribosomal protein leader
Source: RNAcentral
ACGGUUCCGGUUCACGUCCCGACGGUCGCCCGCAGCGGCGCCCGGCGCACGGGGCGACCCGGCGACC